Bubalus bubalis (water buffalo) is the source of this 723-nucleotide non-coding RNA. The record is from the annotation of a RefSeq genome assembly. Lineage: Eukaryota; Metazoa; Chordata; Mammalia; Artiodactyla; Bovidae.
AUGAAGGAUGUGCCAAACUUAAUGACCAGGGAAAGAAAAGUAGACAAAGUAAAGGUGUGUGGUGAGCCAGUCUUUAUCUGUACCCAGACCAUGUGGUCGAUGAACAUGACACCCUACUUCCUGUUUGGGAGGAGUCACACAGGAACCAGUUACUAUGGGAAUCCAUGCCUCUUGCCUCUCUCCAGUCUGCUCUGGGUGUUCCUGGCUUUCACCUUCUCUGGAUCUAGUGUGGCCCAGAAAGUUACUCAAUAUCAGCCAGGCAUAACCAGUCAAGUGCAGAACGUAGUCAUCCUGAACUGUCGGUAUGAAACAAGUUGGAACGUGUACACCUACUGGAUAUUUUGGUACAAGCAGCUUCCCAGGGGAGAGAUGACUUACCUCAUUCAUCAGUAUUCAGAAGAUGGGAAUGAAAGGGAUGGCCACUACUUUGUAAACUUCCAGAAAGCACAUAAGUUCAUCAGGCUUACCAUUUCAUCCUUAAAGCUGGAACAUUCUGGAAAAUACUUCUGUGCUCUCUGGGAAUGCACAGUGCUUGAAGUAAUAGGAAAAGCUGAACAAAAACCCCAGAGGUUAAUAAGAGAGAGCCUCCCUGCUGUGGGACCCAGGUUGAAAUAUACAGCUGCAGACCCCAGACAAGAAAUAGUAGUCCCGUGGUUCUUUAAUCUGUGAUCUGGAUCAGAAGAUUUGAUUCUAAAUAAAAGGAUCAGAAGAUUUGAUUCUAAA